This 553-nucleotide ribosomal RNA is filed under the name Streptomyces sp. man189. Its description in RNAcentral is "bacterial SSU rRNA". It matches the Rfam family "Bacterial small subunit ribosomal RNA", at positions 125 to 692 of the family's 1533-position model. The record is from RNAcentral. Lineage: Bacteria; Bacillati; Actinomycetota; Actinomycetes; Kitasatosporales; Streptomycetaceae.
UCUGCCCUUCACUCUGGGACAAGCCCUGGAAACGGGGUCUAAUACCGGAUAACACCUGCCCGGGCAUCUGGGUGGGUUAAAAGCUCCGGCGGUGAAGGAUGAGCCCGCGGCCUAUCAGCUUGUUGGUGAGGUAGUGGCUCACCAAGGCGACGACGGGUAGCCGGCCUGAGAGGGCGACCGGCCACACUGGGACUGAGACACGGCCCAGACUCCUACGGGAGGCAGCAGUGGGGAAUAUUGCACAAUGGGCGAAAGCCUGAUGCAGCGACGCCGCGUGAGGGAUGACGGCCUUCGGGUUGUAAACCUCUUUCAGCAGGGAAGAAGCGAAAGUGACGGUACCUGCAGAAGAAGCGCCGGCUAACUACGUGCCAGCAGCCGCGGUAAUACGUAGGGCGCAAGCGUUGUCCGGAAUUAUUGGGCGUAAAGAGCUCGUAGGCGGCUUGUCACGUCGGGUGUGAAAGCCCGGGGCUUAACCCCGGGUCUGCAUUCGAUACGGGCUAGCUAGAGUGUGGUAGGGGAGAUCGGAAUUCCUGGUGUAGCGGUGAAAUGCGCA